This 434-nucleotide long non-coding RNA is filed under the name Gossypium raimondii (Peruvian cotton). RNAcentral's name for it is "long non-coding RNA (GRAI_LNC007695)". Lineage: Eukaryota; Viridiplantae; Streptophyta; Magnoliopsida; Malvales; Malvaceae. The record is from RNAcentral.
UUUGAGGGAAAGUAAAUAGGGGGAGUAAAAUUUUGGAGGGAAAAUAUUAAAAAAAAAUUGGAGGGGGGAGGGUUUGGGGUAGAUGGGAGGUGGAAUGGGAAGAGAAUAAAAGUUUUAGGGGAAAAGUGGAAGGGAGUAAAAAUUUUGGGAAAAAAUAAAAGGUUUUGAGGGAUUUGGGGAGUAAAAUUUUGAGAAAAAGUAAAUGGAGAGUAGAAUUUUGGUGGGAAAUGGAUUUUGGGUAGAUUGGGGGGUUGGGAGGGGAUGGGAGUAAAAGUUUUGGGGGGAAGUGGGAAGGAGUAAAAGUUUUGAGGGAAAAAUAAAAAGGUUUGGGAAUUUAGGGUAAAAAUGUAAAAUAUUAUAGUUUGAUAUUCGAAUUAUUCUAAUUAUUCGAGUUAUUCGAAUUCGAAAACUCAACUCGAUUCGAACUCAAAAUU